This 491-nucleotide ribosomal RNA is filed under the name Pagurus bernhardus (common hermit crab). RNAcentral describes it as "partial 16S ribosomal RNA". It matches the Rfam family "Bacterial large subunit ribosomal RNA", at positions 1912 to 2608 of the family's 2925-position model. The record is from RNAcentral. Lineage: Eukaryota; Metazoa; Arthropoda; Malacostraca; Decapoda; Paguridae.
CUGAUUAUAUUAAAGAGCCGCAGUAUUCUGACUGUGCGAAGGUAGCAUAAUAAAUUGUCUUUUAAAUGGAGGCUUGAAUGAAAGGUUGGACAAAGUAUCAUCUGUUUCUUAAAUAUUUAUUGAAUUUGACUUUCAAGUGAAAAGGCUUGAAUAAAUUAAAAAGACGAUAAGACCCUAUAAAUCUUUACAAUAAACAUGUUCUAUAUUUUAAUUUAUAAGUAUAUAAAAUAUUAAAUUUGUAUUUGUUUCGCUGGGGCGGCGUGGAUAUAUUAAUAAACUGUCUAUGUGUUAAAUCCAAUAAUUAUUGAUUAGUGAGAUUGAUCCUUAAAUAGAUUAAAAGAUUAAGAUACUUUAGGGAUAACAGCGUUAUUUUUUUUGAGAGUUCUUAUCGAAGAAAAAGUUUGCGACCUCGAUGUUGAAUUAAAGUAUCUUUAUGGUGCAGCCGCUAUAAUAGAGAGUCUGUUCGACUUUUAAUACUUUACAUGAUCUGA